This 373-nucleotide ribosomal RNA is filed under the name uncultured bacterium. RNAcentral's name for it is "bacterial SSU rRNA". It matches the Rfam family "Bacterial small subunit ribosomal RNA", at positions 527 to 896 of the family's 1533-position model. The record is from RNAcentral.
GGSSSGAGCAAGCGUUGUUCGGAUUUACUGGGCGUAAAGGGCGCGUAGGCGGCCACCGCAAGUCGACUGUGAAAUCUCCGGGCUUAACCCGGAAAGGUCAGCCGAUACUGCGGGGCUAGAGUGCAGAAGGGGCAACUGGAAUUCUCGGUGUAGCGGUGAAAUGCGUAGAUAUCGAGAGGAACGCCUGCGGCGAAGGCGGGUUGCUGGGCUGACACUGACGCUGAUGUGCGAAAGCUAGGGGAGCGAACGGGAUUAGAUACCCCGGUAGUCCUAGCCUUAAACGAUGAAUGCUUGGUGUCUGGGGUUUUAUAGUCCCCGGGUGCCGUCGCUAACGCUUUAAKCAUUCCGCCUGGGGAGUACGGUCGCWAGACWG